This 238-nucleotide ribosomal RNA is filed under the name uncultured bacterium. Its description in RNAcentral is "partial 16S ribosomal RNA". It matches the Rfam family "Bacterial small subunit ribosomal RNA", at positions 96 to 334 of the family's 1533-position model. The record is from RNAcentral.
CGGCGGACGGGUGAGUAACGCGUGGGUAACCUGCCUCAUACAGGGGGAUAACAGUUAAAAAUGACUGCUAAUACCGCAUAAGACCACAGCACCGCAUGGUGCGGGGGUAAAAACUCCGGUGGUAUGAGAUGGACCCGCGUCUGAUUAGCUAGUUGGUAAGGUAACGGCUUACCAAGGCGACGAUCAGUAGCCGACCUGAGAGGGUGACCGGCCACAUUGGGACUGAGACACGGCCCAG